RNAcentral lists this ribosomal RNA (478 nucleotides) under Streptococcus sanguinis. RNAcentral describes it as "bacterial SSU rRNA". It matches the Rfam family "Bacterial small subunit ribosomal RNA", at positions 28 to 489 of the family's 1533-position model. The record is from RNAcentral. Lineage: Bacteria; Bacillati; Bacillota; Bacilli; Lactobacillales; Streptococcaceae.
GACGAACGCUGGCGGCGUGCCUAAUACAUGCAAGUAGAACGCUGAAGAGAGGAGCUUGCUCUUCUUGGAUGAGUUGCGAACGGGUGAGUAACGCGUAGGUAACCUGCCUGGUAGCGGGGGAUAACUAUUGGAAACGAUAGCUAAUACCGCAUAAAAUUGAUUAUUGCAUCAUAAUUGAUUGAAAGAUGCAAUUGCAUCACUACCAGAUGGACCUGCGUUGUAUUAGCUAGUUGGUGAGGCAACGGCUCACCAAGGCGACGAUACAUAGCCGACCUGAGAGGGUGAUCGGCCACACUGGGACUGAGACACGGCCCAGACUCCUACGGGAGGCAGCAGUAGGGAAUCUUCGGCAAUGGGGGGAACCCUGACCGAGCAACGCCGCGUGAGUGAAGAAGGUUUUCGGAUCGUAAAGCUCUGUUGUAAGAGAAGAACGGGUGUGAGAGUGGAAAGUUCACACUGUGACGGUAUCUACCAGAAA